This 274-nucleotide ribosomal RNA is filed under the name uncultured bacterium. RNAcentral's name for it is "partial 16S ribosomal RNA". It matches the Rfam family "Bacterial small subunit ribosomal RNA", at positions 523 to 796 of the family's 1533-position model. The record is from RNAcentral.
AUACGGAGGGGGCUAGCGUUGUUCGGAAUUACUGGGUGUAAAGCGCGCGUAGGCGGAUCGUUAAGUCAGGGGUGAAAGCCCGGAGCUCAACUCCGGAACUGCCCUUGAUACUGGCGAUCUCGAGUCCGGGAGAGGUGAGCGGAAUUCCUAGUGUAGAGGUGAAAUUCGUAGAUAUUAGGAGGAACACCAGUGGCGAAGGCGGCUCACUGGCCCGGUACUGACGCUGAGGUGCGAAAGCGUGGGGAGCAAACAGGAUUAGAAACCCCAGUAGUCC